This 1237-nucleotide long non-coding RNA is filed under the name Mytilus galloprovincialis (Mediterranean mussel). The record is from RNAcentral. Lineage: Eukaryota; Metazoa; Mollusca; Bivalvia; Mytilida; Mytilidae.
UUCACUUGUAUAAGCUUUAUUGUACUUAAGUACAUAAUCAUAUACAAAAGUUGGCUCAAUUAAUUUAUAAUUAACAAGCUAACGGUUCAAAAACAAGCACGUCUCAUAUUAACAGCAUGAUGUGAAAAAUACAAAAUCAAAUGAAAUAAUUCAAUUAAUGAAAGUGAUGAUGACAGAUAAAUAUAUCGACAUCGGUGAAUUAUAAAUAGAUAAACAAUAUUUUCUUAAUAUUUAAAAGCGACAAUCUGAUUGAAUAACUCAUAUUUCCUCUUUUAUCCGUACUUAAGAACCUAGAAAAAUGGCAGCUACAUCAAAUUAAAAGGACUGCUAUAAUAAAUGUCUACCUAAAUGUCUUAAUCAUAUCUGUUAGUCUUUGCAAUAUCUGCCGGAGCCAUUCAAACUAGAAUGUUUAUUUUGUUAAAAUUACCAUUAAGUUCCUUCAAUAUUAUUUUUGAAUCUCAACUAAUUAGAAAAUUAAUUGACUGAAGUACUGUCCAUUUUCAGAAUCAGGUCAAUAUUACCAUAUCCAAAAUGGAUGUGGCAUUUGCAACCAUAACUUAAAAGGUUAUCAUUUCUAUUUCAUUCUUGGUUUAUUGAACAUCAUUUGAGUAAAUACGCUAUAAAUAAAAAUUGUUUAAUUAUCUGCACUCUAUUUCAUUUUACAAUUUCCGAUGAAUUGAAAGGUAAUCCUCUCUAUUUCAUUCUUGAUUUAUUGAACUAAAAGCGAGGCAAUGGAAACAAAACAAACAUUCAGUCAUAAAUCAUCAUUAAAUUAAAUAUGAUAUAAUUGAGUACUUGUAAGUUAAGACAGGGGAGAUAACAAAUACUGACACAAUGUCAUUUCAUGAUUUUAAUUUUUUGUUAAACGAGUCGUGCUUUUAAUAUUCAACAGCACACAUAUACCAUAAAUUUGCAAUGGGAAAAUUCUGAAACCACAAAUUAAUAAAAACCCAGUAACAAAUAUUUCAAUAAACCAUGAAAACAUGAACCUAGGAACUAUUAAAGAUACCUUCUCAUUACUGUAAACCAACUUAUUUUCGCAGGCGAUUCAAUUUCGCGACUUUCGCGAGUAGAAAACUAUCGCGAAUAUAAAUCGUUGCAAAUAUGUAAAACUUGGAUCUUUCCUUAUUAAACUACAUCAAAUAAAUCAAUUAAUCGCGAAAUUAAAUAGCCGCGAAGUGGUCUUCACAGUUUAAAAUGCGAAAUAAAGUAUCCUCAAAAAUAAGUUGGUUUACAG